This 520-nucleotide ribosomal RNA is filed under the name uncultured Glomus. Its description in RNAcentral is "SSU rRNA". It matches the Rfam family "Eukaryotic small subunit ribosomal RNA", at positions 569 to 1091 of the family's 1831-position model. Lineage: Eukaryota; Fungi; Glomeromycota; Glomeromycetes; Glomerales; Glomeraceae. The record is from RNAcentral.
AGCAGCCGCGGUAAUUCCAGCUCCAAUAGCGUAUAUUAAAGUUGUUGCAGUUAAAAAGCUCGUAGUUGAAUUUCGGGAUCAGUUGGUCGGUCGUGCCUCGGUACGUACUGGUCAAAUUGAUUCCUACCUUCUGACGAACCACGAUGUCAUUAAUUUGGUGUCGUGGGAAAUCAGGACUGUUACUUUGAAAAAAUUAGAGUGUUUAAAGCAGGCUCGCGCUUGAAUACAUUAGCAUGGAAUAAUGAAAUAGGACGUUUGAUUCUAUUUUGUUGGUUUCUAGGAUCGACGUAAUGAUUAAUAGGGAUAGUUGGGGGCAUUAGUAUUCAAUUGUCAGAGGUGAAAUUCUUGGAUUUAUUGAAGACUAACUACUGCGAAAGCAUUUGCCAAGGAUGUUUUCAUUAAUCAAGAACGAAAGCUAGGGGAUCGAAGACGAUCAGAUACCGUCGUAGUCUUAACCAUAAACUAUGCCGACUAGGGAUCGGAUGAUGUUAAUUUUUAAUGUACUCAUUCGGCGCCUUAC